ACGCUCGACACCUACGGGGGGCAGCAGUGAGGAAUAUUGGUCAAUGGGCGCAGGCCUGAACCAGCCAAGUAGCGUGAAGGAUGACUGCCCUAUGGGUUGUAAACUUCUUUUAUAUGGGAAUAAAGUUUUCCACGUGUGGAAUUUUGUAUGUACCAUAUGAAUAAGGAUCGGCUAACUCCGUGCUAGCAGCCGCGGUAAUCUGAGCGGGCUGGCAAGGC
RNAcentral lists this ribosomal RNA (218 nucleotides) under uncultured bacterium. Its description in RNAcentral is "partial 16S ribosomal RNA". It matches the Rfam family "Bacterial small subunit ribosomal RNA", at positions 328 to 539 of the family's 1533-position model. The record is from RNAcentral.